GGUUCGCGUAGCAGCAUGGCAUGCAUGAGUUUGUCCUCUCCUUAAACCACACGCUGGAGACACCAGGACACUUGGCACCACACUGACGUGACCCAAAAUUCGACCCUGCGGGACGCCAGUGACGGUCUGACAUGAAAGAUGAGGCGCAGAGGAGGACAUCAUCAACAGGCGGCGGGGAAACAAAGCUCCAGCUAAUCGCUGCUUCCUACAAAACUACAUCUGUAAAGUUACUUUUAACCCGAGAAACAAGCAAGACCAAAUAGCGAAACAGAGUAAAGACUCUUACACAGUC
Molecule: long non-coding RNA, 292 nt
Organism: Gasterosteus aculeatus aculeatus (three-spined stickleback)
Lineage: Eukaryota; Metazoa; Chordata; Actinopteri; Perciformes; Gasterosteidae
Source: Ensembl